AUCAAUCUCACAGUGUCCUCUCCUGUGAAAUAUAAUUGCAUCCUACCAGCAGGAUCCUCCCUCCUCAUUGAUUACCUCCUCCCUUUAUUUCUUACUGAUUUAUUUCUCCCAUUCUCAGCUUUAAUUAAUGCUGAUUUUUGUUCUUUUUUUCAGACAUUCAGAAACUCCAAAACAAGUGAUGAGAGACAGCUGCAUGCACCCAUAGUCUUAUGGAGAGGCAAACAGAUGUCUGGGAGACCUUGGACUGUGACCAUUCGCACUCCCCAUCCUUCCUCCUUCCAAACAGUAACCGUUCCAGCAGCCCAAGAGAUAAAAAGGCAUUAAAGGAGAGCACUUGCCCAGGGUGAGAGCAGCAUGCUGAAUUCCCAUCUUUGCCCGAGAAGAUCCUAACCUGCAUCUUCCCGAAGUGUGUACUGGCAACCAACCUGCCACCUGAGCUACAUGAAGACACCCAGGGUCUCUCUUUCUGAAGCUGCUUCACUCUACAUAAAGUACUUCAAAAUUUUGCCGUUGGAGGGGCUCACCAAAGAGCCCAAUCGUGGGAGCAGAAAAGGCAGAGGAGAUGAACCCCUUGCGCCAGGAGCUGCAAGCCCUUGGGGCGCAUGCGGUUGGUGCACCCAAAGCUCUGGUUUCUUUGUAAAACUGUCAUGGGCAUCUCAUAAACAAUGAUUCACAGCACCCAGCUAAAAUACUGGAUAGAAAUUAAAUACAUGGUUCUUCCUGUAAUGAAAACUUCAUCCGAAAAGACCAAAGCAAGGGAAG
RNAcentral lists this long non-coding RNA (762 nucleotides) under Struthio camelus australis. Its description in RNAcentral is "lncRNA (ENSSCUG00000014081.1)". The record is from RNAcentral. Lineage: Eukaryota; Metazoa; Chordata; Aves; Struthioniformes; Struthionidae.